This 253-nucleotide ribosomal RNA is filed under the name uncultured bacterium. Its description in RNAcentral is "partial 16S ribosomal RNA". It matches the Rfam family "Bacterial small subunit ribosomal RNA", at positions 524 to 776 of the family's 1533-position model. The record is from RNAcentral.
UACGUAGGGGGCAAGCGUUGUCCGGAAUCAUUGGGCGUAAAGAGCGUGUAGGCGGCUCGGUAAGUCCGCUGUAAAAGUCCAGGGCUCAACCCUUGAAUGCCGGUGGAUACUGUUGAACUAGAGUCCGGAAGAGGCGAGUGGAAUUCCUGGUGUAGCGGUGAAAUGCGCAGAUAUCAGGAGGAACACCGAUUGCGAAGGCAGCUCGCUGGGACGGUACUGACGCUGAGACGCGAAAGCGUGGGGAGCAAACAGG